CCAGACUCCUACGGGAGGCAGCAGUGGGGGAUAUUGCACAAUGGGGGGAACCCUGAUGCAGCGACGCCGCGUGGGUGAAGGAGCACCUCGGUGCGUAAAGCCCUAUCGGCAGGGAAGAAACAGACGGUACCUGACUAAGAAGCCCCGGCUAACUACGUGCCAGCAGCCGCGGUAAUACGUAGGGGGCAAGCGUUAUCCGGAUUCACUGGGUGUAAAGGGAGCGUAGACGGCCAAGCAAGCCAGGGGUGAAAGCCCGGGGCCCAACCCCGGGACUGCCCUUGGAACUGCAUGGCUGGAGUGCGGGAGGGGCAGGCGGAAUUCCUAGUGUAGCGGUGAAAUGCGUAGAUAUUAGGAGGAACACCAGUGGCGAAGGCGGCUUACUGGACUGUAACUGACGUUGAGGCUCGAAAGCGUGGGGAGCAAACAGGAUUAGAUACCCGCGUAGC
This 446-nucleotide ribosomal RNA is filed under the name uncultured bacterium. RNAcentral describes it as "bacterial SSU rRNA". It matches the Rfam family "Bacterial small subunit ribosomal RNA", at positions 331 to 794 of the family's 1533-position model. The record is from RNAcentral.